UCCGAUGCCAUGAAGUCAGAGGAGAUCACAGC
Molecule: non-coding RNA, 32 nt
Filed under: Rattus norvegicus (Norway rat)
Lineage: Eukaryota; Metazoa; Chordata; Mammalia; Rodentia; Muridae
Source: RNAcentral